This 8022-nucleotide long non-coding RNA is filed under the name Homo sapiens (human). RNAcentral describes it as "HSALNT0217046". Lineage: Eukaryota; Metazoa; Chordata; Mammalia; Primates; Hominidae. The record is from RNAcentral.
ACGAGAUGAAAUGAUGAAAUGAAAUCAUGAGAUGAAAUGAUGAGAUGAAGUGAAAUGAUGAAAUGAAAUGAUGAGAUGAAAUGAAAUAAUGCAAUGAAAGAUGAAAUGAUGAGAUGAAGUGAAAUGAUGAAAUGAUGAAAUGUAAUGAAAUGAUGAAAUGGAAUGAUGAAAUGAAAUGAUGAAAUGAAAUGGUGAAAUGAAAUGAAAUGAAAAGAUCAAAUGGUGAAAUGAAGAAAUGAUAUGAAAUGAUGAAAUGGAAUGAUGAAAUGAAGUGAAAUGAUUAAAUGAUGAAAUAAUGAAAUGAAAUGAUGAAAUGAUGAAUUGAUGAAAUGAAAUGAUCAAAUGAAAUGACGAGAUGAAAAGAUGAAAUGAAAUGAAAUGAUGAAAUGAAAUGACGAGAUGAAAAGAUGAAAUGAGAUGAAAUGAUAAGAUGAAAUGAAAUCAUGAGAUGAUGAAAUGAUGAGAUGAAGUGAAAUGAUGAAAUGAAAUGACAAAAUGCAACAAUGAGAAGAAAUGAUGAAAUGAAAUAAUGAAAUGAAAGGAUGAAAUGAUGAGAUGAAAUGAAAGGAUGAAAUGAAAUGAUGAAAUGAGGAAAUGAAAUGAAGUGAAAUGAUGAAAUGAUGGAAUAAAAGAUGAAAUGAUGAAAUGAUAUGAAAUGAUGAAAUGAUGACAUGAAGUUAAAUGAUGAAAUGAUGAAAUAAAUGAAAUGAGAUGAAAAGAUGAAAUGAUGAAAUGAUGAGAUGAAAUGAAAUGAGAUGGAAUCAUGAGAUGAAAUGAUGAAAUGACGAAAUGAAAUGUUGAGAUGAAGUGAUGAAAUGAAAUGAUGAAAUGAUGAAAUGAAAUGUUGAGAUGAAGUGAUGAAAUGAAAUGAAACAAUGAAAUGAAGUGAAAUGAAAUGAGAUGAAAUGAUGAAUUGAUGAAAUGAAAUGAGAUGAAAAGACGAAAUGAUGAAAUGAUGAGAUGAAAAGAUGAAAUGAUGAGAUGAAAUGAAAUCAUGAGAUGAAAUGAUGAGAUGAAGUGAAAUGAUGAAAUGAAACGAAAUGUUGAGAUGAAAUGAUGAAAUGAAAUGAAAGAAUGAAAUGAAAUGAUAAAAUGAUGAGAUGAAAUGAUGAAAUGAAAGGAUGAAAUGAAAUGAUAAAACGAGGAAAUGAGAUGAAAUGAUGAAAUGAAAGGAUGAAAUCAAAUGAUGAAAUGAGGAAAUGAAAUGAAACGAGGAAAUGAAAUGAAAUAAUGAAAUGAAAUGAUGAAAUAGAUGAACCAAAAAUACUUAUUCAUUUUUUUUCUUUGCAUCCUUCUAAGAGUAUUUUAGUGAGGUUAAUUUCUAAAAAUAAAUUGCUAUUCAAUGACUAUACAGUUGGCCUUUGCACCACAGGGGUUUGAACUGUGCACGUCCACUUAGCAAAACCAACAAUUCUACAUCCUUCUCCACACCCUGCCCAUGAAAAGGAUGAGGAUGAAGACCUGUUUGAUCAUCUACUUCCAUUUAAUAACUAGUAAAUAUAUUUUCCUUAUGAUUUUCUUUUUUCUUUUCUCUGGCAUGUUUGUUAAGAAUACAGUAUAUAAGACAUAUAACAUAUUAAAUAUGUGUUAAUUGACUGUGUUAUUUGUAAGGCUUACAGUAGGCUAUUAGUAGUUAAGUUUUGGGGGAGUCAAAGUUAUAGUGGACUUUCUACUGUGCAGGGGGGCCAGCACCCCAACCUCCAUGUUGCUUAAGGGUCAACUGUACAUGUUAUUUCCUUUCCUGUAAGAGAAAAAUGAUGAGAAGGUCUUUUCUCCAAUAAGUGUAUUCAAAAUGUAGCAGAUUUGAAAUGUGUUGGCGCCACCAUUUUGCGUCUCACUUUGAAAACUUAUUAUUUAAAAUCAUACUAAAGCCUACCUAACUUUUCCAACCUUAGAAAAAAUGUUACAAAGAAAAGGGGUGAAACCAUGCUAGUUUGCCCUGAAAUUUGAAAUUAUCUUUUAAAAAUAUAUUUUUACAUUAAUUACUUCCAAAAUAGAGAUCAGUUGCAUACAAAUGGCAGGUCACCCUAAUCCACCCUAUGACUGCACUUAGAUCCAUGAGGAAUUGUGCCAUCUAGAAAGGGCAGAGAAGAGGAAUAGAGUGCUCUGCGUCUUGAAAUAUAAACAUGCGCAUAGCCACAUGCUUAGAUUCUGUUGUCACUGUGUACUUACUGCUAGGAAGAGGGCAUGUUUGUGUAUUUUUAUGCUAAUUAUUAUCCAAGUUGUUAAUGAUUUGCGCUUUCAGAACCAUAUAAAGAUUUUUUUCCUUUCAGAUAUAAACUAUCUUGCAUUGUUCUUCUGAUCAUAUGAGGGAUAAAUUUGCCUAAAUAUUCUUCAGACCAUAAUAGUAUGUCCAUAUAAAUGCCAGUAGCAAGAGUAGAAUCAACCACAACUGCCUUUGUAAUUAUUUAAAGCAUGUCUGCCUAUAAGUAAUUGGCAUUUUAUAUAAUCAAGAAUCUUUGAUAUAAUAAUCUCUCAACUAUUUGAAACAUGGCUCACAUGUAUUAAUUUUUUAUGCAAAUAUAUAUAUAAUAUCAGUGUAUAUGAAACUAAAUUUUGGACUUUAGAACAGCUUCUUAGAAUCCUGACUUAAAUGUCUACAGUAAUAGUUGGCUUACAAAAAUUUAGCACACUGUCACUAUGAUGAAAAAAAUUACUAUAAAUUUAUUUUAAAAAUUGUUCCACCCUAACAUUUAGAAUAUUCUCACAUUUGUGGUUAGAUGUGAUUGUUCUUAGAAUUUAGAUAAAAAAUGUUCCAGAAAGUUUGAAGAGAAGCACUUUAGUCAAUUUUUAGUUGUUGAAGCAUGAAGAAAUGGCAUUUCAUUGACAUUUUAAAAAUUAUUCAGAUUCCCUCUUUGAAUUCAAGUGUUUCAAAGAUAUCUUAUUUUAAAAUACCAAAAUAGGAAUAGAAUAUGAAGGGCUGGUUAUGAGUAAUAUGAUACACUUUUAUGAGAGGAUGAGAUUACAAUAACAAUACCUCCUCUCAUAGAAUAGCCAGCAAGUCUCCACUAAAUAAGAGUGCCUUGAUUUUAUAGAUGUUUAAUCAUGGAUAUUGAGUUAAUGUGAACCAUUUGUAGACACGGGAGUUUAUUAAAGAAUUAUAUAAUAUCUUUCAAGUAUUUAGAAUAGUGUUGAAAUUAAGCCUGCAUCCCCAUGAUUUUCAGCGGUGCUGAUGCCUAAUAAACUCAACCCCUUGCAUGCCAAAAUUGGCUUAAAGCCCAUCUGUUACCCAAGCUACACUUCAAGCAUCAAGGUUCAAAAAUGUGAUUUUAAAUAUGCAAGAGUUUGAGGAAUUCACUACUCACACUUUCUUGAACAGUCUAUCCAAGUGCAUCAAGCAAAACGUAAGUAAAGAAAUUUUGACCAAAGGAUUGAUAGUAAUGUUGAAUACAUUUAAUAGUAGAUCUAAGAUUAAAAGGUGAAAUUGAGGGUGAGAAGAGUGUAUGAAUGCUUUGUGUUCUGACAAAGAGAAUGUAGCACCCAGGUCCUACCUGCUUGGAUGCAUUGCCAGUGCCCACGGUAGGCCAUUUUAUCCAGGUUUUUAGGUUUUGAUUUGUUUUGUUUUGUUUUGUUUUUUUCUUUUCAGGAUAGUUAGUCCAAGACCAAUAACUCCAUAACUGGUAGAUUUGGAAGACUUUAAUAGUGCUUAACAUUUUGUACAUAGCUUUAUAACAGUUUUCUUUUUCUUUUUUUCUGAGAGAUUCUUUUCAAUAUACCCCAUCAUGGUUGAACUCAAAAAUCAUUGCUUAUUUAAAAUCUACAACUGCUGACGUUUUGUAACGUUCGCAUUCCAGACGCAACAGAGAAAUGCAUAAUGUCCAGUCAAUUUAUUAAAGUUCCAAAGUCGGUCGCGUGCGGUGGCUCACGCCUGUAAUCUCAACACUUCGGGAGGCCGAGGCGUGUGGAUCACGAGGUCAGGAGUUGGAGACUAGCCUGACCAACAUGGUGAAACCCCGUCUCUACUAAAAAUACAAAAAUUAGCCAGGCAUGGUUGCACGCGGCUGUAAUCCCCGCUACUCAGGAGGCUGAGGCAGGAGAAUUGCUUGAACCAGGGACGCAGAGGUUGCAGUGAGCAGAGAUGGCGCCACCACACUCCAGCCUGGGAGAAAGAGUGAGACUGCUUCUCAAAAAAAGAAAAAGUUGCAAAGUCAUACCUUUCUGCUCUUGUCAGGCAAUUAAGGGGUUUUUGAAUACUUCAGCCCUAACAAUUUGCUUCCUAACAUACAUAUUGCAGUGCUUAUCUAAUUUUAAAUAUCUUUUUGUUUCAACACCUAAUUUUUUAUUUAGAUCUAUCUGUAUGUUUACAAUAUAUUUUGCUCUGUGUUCAUUCUUUGAUUUCAGAACUUCAAUCUUUCUGAAGCAUGUUUUCAGAGUUUCUUUUUAGUUUCAUUAGUGGAAUUCUGCUGGUGGCGUUUUGUUUUUUGUCUCUAAAUAUGUUAUUUAGCCAUAGGUUGAUGAAUAUUUUUCUUGGUUGAGAAUUUCAGAAUGGCAUUAUUAUUCUUAACAAAUAAUAUUGUUUAUUUUACCUUUCAUGCUUUCAGAUUUCAAUAUGAUUAAAGGUAAUUUGAUUUUUCUAGUGCUCAUUGAAAUAUUUUUCCCUUCCUGAUUGUUUACUAUUUCUCUACGAGAUAUGUAGAUGUAGGUUUAUCUCCAUUGUAGCUUGCUUAGCAUGCAUAGAAUUUUUGAAUACACGGAUUAGUGUCUUACAAAAGUCUAGAGAAAUUUCAGCCAAAAUACCAUCACAUAUUGUCCCUUCCCGGUUCCCUUCUUCUAUGAGAACACUCACUAAACACAUGCUACACUUUCUCACUGUAUCUUCCAUGUCUCUUCAUGAUUCUGUCCACAUUGUGCAUUUUUAAAAAUUUUCUGUAAUGCAUUCUGAAAUAUUUAUGAACUCUCACCAUGGCCAUGUCUAAUCUGAUGAGUUCAUUUUUGAGUUUUUAAUUUAAAAUACUAUAUACAAACUACUUUUCAAAUUUGCAACAUCAAUUUUUUAGUCUCCUAAAAAUAUAUUCAUUUUUUAAAAAAUUUUUUGAAAGCAAAUGUGCUUUAUAAUCUAACAGUGAUAUUUCUACUAAUGAACCUUUGUGGAUCUGUUUGUACUCUUUUUCUAUUUUCCUUUCAAAUGGUGGAAUAUCAUUUCCUUGUGUACUUAGAUGCCUUUGAAUGACAAAGAUUUAUUUUUCUCUGAAAAUUAUUAUUGUGCACUUUUGCAUAUUAGUAAGAAGAAAAUUUGCCAAAGAGAAUUUGAAUUUUUUGUGAGUCUACUAAAGGCACCACCAUUCUGGGACCACAUUAUAUUAAUUCUUGGCCUAAAGGUGUUUGGACGUAUGUUUGGACAGCACAUUUAAACAAUUUUUAAAUUAAUUGCUGUAAAUCAUUAAUGAUUGAGUUUCUUUAAAUCUGUCCAAUCUCAAGUCAUUUUUAUUUGCCAUUUCCAGGGAAUGUGAAAUCGGACUAAUUUACCUCUGAUUCUUCUUUAUACUGAGGAUGUAAAUUUUGGUCCUAGCUUUAGGGAGGAGCUCCUGUGUGAUGCCCUAUCUUGGGAAAAACUAUGUAUUUCUUUACUGUCCUAUGUGAUGUAUGACAGUAGGAAUCUGCACUCAUUCAUUUUGCUACAUGUCCCUAGGGCAAAAUCAGUUUCAGUGUUUAGGUGUAUUUUGUCUGCUCCCUGCAUUCCCAUGGUUUUGACCUUAUAUUUUACUUUUUUUUUUUGUGAACAUAUCACUGCUUCAACUUUUUCCAGUAAUAUAAUCAAUUAUACUAUAAGAAAGAGAAAAAUUUUGAUAAAACACAAAUUUCAUGUUUUCCUACUCUAAAUGGCUUUUACGUAAAAAUACAGGUAAAAUUUAUUUGUGCUUUUUUGCUAUUUCUGUUUUGCUAUUCUCUGUUUGUCUAUGUCUUCGCCACAUAGACACAAUUAGGGAAUUUUGUACACUCUUGUGCCAACUGCUUUGAUAGUAACAAAAUGUAUUUCUCGAACUCCUAGGUAUAAAACUCAAGUAUCCACAAUUUAAAUACUUUUUUGCUCACUUCUAUUAUGUUUCCAGUCUCAAUAGAAAUCGAUGCCAAUCCAGAAAUACAAGCAUUAUUCUAAUACUUCUCACACAUUACUGAUAUAGAUUAAAUUUUCUAGAUCUCCUUAAAUACUAUCAUUUUUCACUUAUUGUAUCUUAACUGUUAAGUUCAACAUUUUCUAUAAUAUUAAUAUAUGUGAAAAUUUCCUUACUUUCUUAUUUGUCCCAGGUUCAAUGUUUUGCAGUCUCUACCUCACCCUGUGAAGCAUAAACAUUGUACAUGCUGUACAAAUAAUACAUCGUUCAUGUACUUAGAGAUUGCACAAUUUUUAUUUGGUUGACAAUAGCUAAUGUUUUCUUCUUCAUUUUCUAUUUCCUGAUUUUUCUUUAUUUAGUAUAUACUACACUAUCAUAAAAAUAAGGACGUUUUACAAACUAAAGCAAUAGCAACCCUAGGAAUAAAAUGCACAAAUAAAAUAUAUAAACAUACAUUUAGAUGUACCACGUAACCUUGUAAUUUAUUUAGACAUUUAAUUUUAGUAAAAUUUUAAUUAAAGUCUGUGUAUUAUGUGUCAUCGUCUUAGUAUUUUUUAUAUAACAAAUUUUGUAAAUCAAAAAGUCUCAAUGUCAUUAUAAACUAUCUUGGCAGAGGAUGAUCUCAAAGGAAUAAUUUCUCUCCCAAAUUACGCCAAUCAGAAUUUCAGUCUACCAUAAUUCUUUUAAUCAGUUUCAGAGGAAUAAUAAAUUUCAAAAUUGUUCAAGGUACUUCUUUUAUUUCAAGUACCUUUUGACUUGUAAAUUCUACAGGUGUAAAACUGUAGACAGACUGAUACAAACAUAUUCUAAUUCACUCAAAAUUAUAUGGACCUAUUUUAAAAUCUAGAUUUUAAAAUGUCGUGUCAACAUACACAUGUUCUCCUUGUGAAAUAAUUGCUUUUUAUUCUCUGGAUAGAAUAAUUUAAUCUUUAAACAAUUCACUGUUAGAAAUGAAAUAUUACAUAAGGAUAUGCUUAUAAAAAUAAUUCCCAACUAGCUUUUCAAUUCAGAAAUAUAUGUGAAAAAUCGUCAAACAUCUAAUGGAUUUCAAGGAGAAAUGGGUUAGUAAUUUAUUCCAUAUGUCUCAAUUUUUCCUAGACUCAAGGCUUCCUUUAAAAUAAUUGUAGGCAUUUAAGAAACCAUGUAAACUAAGAAGAAAUUGUGACACUGCCGCUUAGGCUUUUUAAAUCUUUGGACAUGAUUCAAUAUAUUUUUUAAAUUGUAUCUUAAUUAGACAUGGUGAGUUCACCAUCUUCCUGUCAGUAUAGCAUCCAAGCUGAUUAUGAUAGAUUAGAAGUUCAACUAUCAACUGUGUUCUGAGAGUCUAAAAAAAUAAAUGAACAUAUUUGUUUGGGUAUUCUUAAAGCAGGAGUGAGGACACAGUGAAAGUGAGACAAGGAAAAGAGAACAAAAUAAAACAGGAAAGAUAGAAAAGCCAAUAACACACGUGUUAAGAGUAACAAGCUCCCGUGCUGCUAGAGAAAGUCCUCAGCUAGAAACUGGUGCAAAUUCUGGAGAUGAGACCUUGUAGAGUGUUAAGAAUGGUUUUCUUCCCAGCAGCUACAGGUAAGGAAUAGGGGCUGGGCUAUUAAUACAUCUGCUACAAACCAAUAAAGCCCUUAUGCUCCUUUUGGUGAUCGACAAUGUAUUUAAAAAUAUUAGAUGAUCAAGAAGGGCUGCAGAAAAGAGGAAACAGAAACAAACAGCACACCUCUUGGUUUAUUUUUAUUCAUUUCAUCAGUUUCAAGGAAAAUGUGUUGGGAGUUCCUGGCAUAGACAAUGUCACAAAGACAUAUUUUCAAUAGUAGUGCUAUCCCUAGGGCAGAGAAGACCCAGAGAAAGCCCAAGUGGCUGCUGGAACAAAGUCAGACACCGUGCCACCUGUCCACACUCCUUGGCUCUGCCAUCAUACUGAAGAUCGCUUUAAAGGACUGGCUUCCCUCCCCCCAAAAUUAAACGAGCACAGACU